CACGUAGGGUGCGAGCGUUGUCCGGAACUAUUGGGCGUAAAGAGCUCGUAGGCGGUGUGUCGCGUCGGCCGUGAAAACCUGCAGCUUAACUGUGGGCUUGCGGUCGAUACGGGCAUCACUGGAGUUCGGCAGGGGAGACUGGAAUUCCUGGUGUAGCGGUGAAAUGCGCAGAUAUCAGGAGGAACACCGGUGGCGAAGGCGGGUCUCUGGGCCGAUACUGACGCUGAGGAGCGAAAGCGUGGGGAGCGAACAGG
Molecule: ribosomal RNA, 254 nt
Filed under: uncultured bacterium
Lineage: Bacteria
Description: partial 16S ribosomal RNA
Rfam family: Bacterial small subunit ribosomal RNA
Source: RNAcentral